AUGAUUUCUAUAGAUCGGGGAAAGAAGAACAAGCAUAAGUCAGAAUUUGAAAGCAACAAAACAAUUGAAUUCAAAAGAAAAAGAUUUAGAAUAUGCUGCAGCCGUCCGCGACUUUCACCACGGACACCAGCAAUGCAUCACAACUUACAACAUGGAACCACGCCCUCCACUCGUCACCGACAACUUCAGAUCCGCACCACUUAUUUUUCCCUCCAUCGAAUUCCGAUCAACAUCCCUUCGAUCACGCUUUUGAUCCACACAACCCCCAUCGACCGAACCAGCCUCUAA
Molecule: non-coding RNA, 288 nt
Organism: Vicia faba (fava bean)
Lineage: Eukaryota; Viridiplantae; Streptophyta; Magnoliopsida; Fabales; Fabaceae
Source: the annotation of a GenBank genome assembly